GCUUCAUUCCAGCGUUUGGUACGCCAACCGGAACAGAACCCACUCGUCCCCGAUCAGCGAAUAUUCGUCAAAGAUGCGGAAUGCGCUGAGACCUCCAAAUCGACGGAAUCACAGGGAACGAGCCCUCUCCUCUCCCGCAACCCUAUCGCUCGUCUCCACAGCGCCGCUCGACCUCCUCCUUCCUCCGUGCGCCUCCAGCCCUCUCCCUCCCACUCAGGGUACAAGGGGAAGAAGGAAGUAGGAGAGAACAAGGAGAAGAAGACAGCAGAGCGAAGCAAACCGUCCUCACCUCAAGAUGGUCAAGAAGAUGAAUAAAAGAAAAAGGAUGGUUAGGGGAGCCGCAGUUUUUGUCACACUUGCUGCAAUAGCAGUCAUUGUUCGAGCUUUAAUAAGGAAGAGAAGACCACGUAUUACAUAUGGCCCAAUGCAUGAAAGAGAUCAGGCACAUAAAGCUGAU
Molecule: long non-coding RNA, 457 nt
Organism: Triticum dicoccoides
Lineage: Eukaryota; Viridiplantae; Streptophyta; Magnoliopsida; Poales; Poaceae
Exons: 4
Source: RefSeq, a predicted model, not a curated record